RNAcentral lists this ribosomal RNA (779 nucleotides) under uncultured bacterium. Its description in RNAcentral is "bacterial SSU rRNA". It matches the Rfam family "Bacterial small subunit ribosomal RNA", at positions 8 to 796 of the family's 1533-position model. The record is from RNAcentral.
AGAGUUUGAUCAUGGCUCAGGACGAACGCUGGCGGCGUGCUUAAUACAUGCAAGUCGAACGAAUGCCAUCCGGUGGCAACACCGGUGAAGCGUUAGUGGCGAACGGGUGAGUAACACGUGAGCAACCUGCCCCGGAGACUGGGAUAACACCGGGAAGCCGGUGCUAAUACCGGAUACCCUCAUCGAGUCGCAUGGCCUGAUGAGGAAAUGGAUUCCGCUCCGGGAGGGGCUCGCGGCCUAUCAGCUUGUUGGUGGGGUAACGGCCUACCAAGGCGUCGACGGGUAGCUGGUCUGAGAGGACGAUCAGCCACACUGGGACUGAGACACGGCCCAGACUCCUACGGGAGGCAGCAGUAGGGAAUCUUGCGCAAUGGGCGAAAGCCUGACGCAGCAACGCCGCGUGGGGGAUGAAGGCUCUCGGGUUGUAAACCCCUUUCAGCAGGGACGAAACUGACGGUACCUGCAGAAGAAGCCCCGGCCAACUACGUGCCAGCAGCCGCGGUAAUACGUAGGGGGCGAGCGUUGUCCGGAUUCAUUGGGCGUAAAGAGCUCGUAGGCGGCUGACUAAGUCAGGUGUGAAACCUCCAGGCUCAACCUGGAGUCGCCACCUGAUACUGGUCUGGCUAGAGUCCGGUAGGGGACCACGGAAUUCCUGGUGUAGCGGUGAAAUGCGCAGAUAUCAGGAGGAACACCGGUGGCGAAGGCGGUGGUCUGGGCCGGCACUGACGCUGAGGAGCGAAAGCGUGGGGAGCGAACAGGAUUAGAUACCCUAGUAGUCC